UACAGAGGUCUCAAGCGUUGUUCGGAUUCAUUGGGCGUAAAGGGUGUGUAGGUGGCGCGCUAAGUCGGGUGUGAAAUUUCGGAGCUUAACUCCGAAACUGCAUUCGAUACUGGCGUGCUUGAGGACUGGAGAGGAGACUGGAAUUUACGGUGUAGCGGUGAAAUGCGUAGAUAUCGUAAGGAAGACCAGUGGCGAAGGCGGAUCUCUGGACAGUUACUGACACUGAGGCACGAAGGCCAGGGGAGCAAACGGG
Molecule: ribosomal RNA, 253 nt
Filed under: uncultured bacterium
Lineage: Bacteria
Description: partial 16S ribosomal RNA
Rfam family: Bacterial small subunit ribosomal RNA
Source: RNAcentral